RNAcentral lists this long non-coding RNA (38747 nucleotides) under Eucalyptus grandis. RNAcentral describes it as "long non-coding RNA (EGRA_LNC005117)". The record is from RNAcentral. Lineage: Eukaryota; Viridiplantae; Streptophyta; Magnoliopsida; Myrtales; Myrtaceae.
UUGCUUUUUCUGACGUCUCAUUGGCUCUGUUCUUACCUCUGAAGCACUCAGCGAGCAGCACACGAGGGGCAAAAUCACAGAGAAUGUCAGGACCUCAAUGCUGCGAGAACCCUCCAACCCUGACCCAACCCGCGGACAAGGCCAUGUCGAGGAGCUGGGUGGAGUCAAGAGCUACGUCUCUGGCUCAUCUGACUCUGAUCUACCCUGUACUUCCUUUUUUAUUGAUCAAGUUGGCAUUAUGGGUUCAUAGUCGGUGCUUCUGGUUCAAUCUGCAACGUGGGUCAGUGAUUUAAGUUGUAUUUUGUCAUAAUCUCUUGGUAAACCUUUAAGUCCCGUUUUUUUAGGUUGUAAUCUGAUGAAACUAUCCGAUGACGCGAGUGGCUAUGUUUACGGAGUAGGCUGUUUCUUGGAAGUUUAUAUUGAGAGUUGUUUCAUGGUGGCAUGUGAUUUAGUAAUUGGAGGUAACUGAAAUAGGAGCAUAAAGAAGGGAAACCUAUUUAUAUGGCUUCAUUUCUACCAUUUCAUCUGUUUUCCCUCUUCUCAGAACUGACCAUAAUUUGGGUGGUUGUAUUCAUUGUGCAGGAUGUGAAGCUCCAGGCUUGAGGUAUAGACGAGUCCCAUAUAAUCCUUUCUUGCAACUUGCUUGUUUUUAUUCUUCCCAGACCAUCUCUGUGCGUCUCUGUUGGGGGCAGUGGAGGAGGUUAUGCAUGAAUGAGACUUCCCUUCUUGUCUUUCUAUUGUUCAUUUAAUUUUGCCUUUUCAUCGCAUUUUCAAUUGCUUCACAGUUCAUUAUGUUAUGACUUUCCUCUAGCUUUUUGCGUUAAAAUUAACAGAAGAUUGCUAAGGUCUACAUAAGGUAAUGAUGUGUUUAUUUCCCUUGAACACUAGAGAAGUCAAAGGAACCACUUCUUUGGCAGCUUAUCCAAUAUUACAGUCAGGUUGUUCGCUUAUGAUGAAAAUCUUCAAGGUCUGACUUUGGGUGCUCUUUCGAGAUAGAUCUUGAGAUUCUCUAGAGUACUUUGGAUAGUGGAUAUGAGAGAAGCUGUGGUAUUCAGAAUGUCCAAUUGGGACUGAGAUUCUUCUAUCUCGACUUGAGUGUCUCAAGAGUAAGAGCAUGGGGAUCUCUGCCGAAAAAGCAGGCCCUUGUCAUGCAAUGUGAUAUGUCUUUUCAUUAGUAUUAUUGAACUGAUGAAAGCUUACUCUACGUAAUGCUUAAGAAUUCCCAUAUGGUGAUCAAUCUCGUCAAAAUCUUGCUGACUUGGUGGCAGCUGCUGCUGUGGUUGUGCCUGAUUUUUUUGUUGAGGAUCCUUCUGUGCCUGAAAAUGCCAAAAGGCCAUGGAAUAGCUAAGUAUCAUGGAACUGUGGGUUCUCGAUCUUUAAUUCAUAGACAUUUGCUGUUUUUUCCUUAGAAACUGCGCUAGUAUUAUUCAUAAGUUGAUCCAGAAUUGCCUAUCUUGGGAUGCUCACUGUUUUCCCAUUAUUGAUUAGUUGCUUAAGCUACGACUCAUAGUUAUGCAUCCAUUAGUAAUUGUGAUUGCUGAUGCCAAAAGAAUUUUUUUUGCAGGAUAAGUGUUAUGAAGAUGCAAAGCGAAUAGUUGAAGCUGUAAAAGGUAAAGGUGUGUCUGCGAUUAGGGCUGCUGGCUUGUAAGCAACCUUGUUCUGUGGAUUCUUUGAAAGGUCUCUUUUCAUGUCUUAAAGGAUGUGCUUUACAAGCUUGUAAUAUCUUGCAGUGCUCAUGGGAUCUUCAUUUCUUCAGCUAAGGGGUGGUUGAGCUGGCAAAGACAGGGGUCGUCAAAGCUGCUGCAUUACUAGAUCCGACGUUAGUUUCUGUGGAUGACAUCGAGGGUAUGGUCAUCUUUAUUGGUUUAUUAGGCUCUUGGUUUGCAAAUAUUCAAAGUCAAUAAUUACUUGAAGUAGCUGUAGGAACCUACCUUUCUACAUUUUCACUGUCAUGCACACGAAUAUAUUGCAUUUGGUUUGCAUAAAGAAGAAAAAGCAUCUCCUGAAGGCUUGGAAAGUUGGAACGUUCACGUCGCAUGUAAGAUAUGACAUUUUUCUCUGCUCCUUAUAACGCUUGUCAAGACAAUCCGUUUACUCUGCCCCCAACACAUUAACGGUGUGAUGUUUUAUUUACCUCGAAACAUUUCCAUGGCAGCUAUUGCAAGAUUUGAUGAACCUAUGUUAACAACACAUCGCCAUAAUAUAUCAGCUUCAUCAGUUUUGCACCUUAGAGUUAAGUGCAAUUUUUUGCAGGAGUAUGGGCUCCAAAUAGCCAUAUUAUUUUCUGAGAUAGACUGUAUGUCACCACUGGAACUCCUGAAGCAGUUUGAAGAGAUUCUAACUGCCAUAUCUGAGGUGAGAUUGGGAUAUACUCGACCUUUCCUGAUCCUGAGUCUAUGUUUGCAUGUUCUAAGGAUGGAUUGCUUUGGUCAUAUCUAUUUUCCUCAGUUUUUCAUUUGGUUUCGUUAUAUCAAUGGUGUCCAUUCAUGUUCGCUUAUCAGAAUUUUUAUGGAGAACAAUUUCAGGGGUGAUGGUUCUGAUUUAUUAUUCGAUUUUUACAUUUGGCAUAUAACCUAUGGUUCUUGAGUUCAUGCAUUUCUAUUUACUUUCCAAUUGGGAAGUUACAUAUGUGAGCCACUCAGUGAGUUUGCUUUGCCUCAUGGUAGUAGAGAUUUUUUAUGAAUAUGAGACUGUUUCGCAGGUUGAUGCGCGAGUAAAGAUAUUUCCAAAAGUUUCCCAUGGGUGGACUGUCAAGUAUGAUGUUGCUGAUGAAGCAGUGGUGAAGUUUGCCGAGGCGAAUUGGGAUAUGCUAGAAUGGUUUGCAAAGUUUAUCAAUUGAGGGUAGUCUCUGGCAUCAGUUGAAAACCUACACUCUGGCAUGUGACAACUUGUUGUGUAAUAAAGUUGACGCUGUUUACUUUCUGCAUUCUGCGAUUGCCAAGAAAAUGGAGAAGGCUAGUGGGGAUUUUGUUCUGUUUCUGCAUCUCAACUUGAGUUCUGCCAUAAAGAUUAGAUGAAGUAGAAUCUCUCCCGAUCGAUGCUUGUAUUCUAUUUAUGAUGACUUGGUAAUGCGCUUAGGAUGAACUUAUACUGAGUUUUUUUUCCGUCUGCUUCCAUGUGAAGAGAGGAUGAAUUCACGCUUAACUCAUUAUUAAACAGCUAUAUCUACAAUGCAUUAUGACCCUCAAGGUUUAAAAGAUUUUCAUCACUAGAUUUAGAAAAUUAUUUGCUAAGGUUUGUGGUGUUAGCAGAGCAAUGGGAAAAAUUACAAAAAAGUUCUAAACCUAUUGUAAUUGUGCCAAUUGAGUCCUAAACUUAUUUUUUUGACCAAUUGAGUCCUAAACCUUUUACAAUUAUUCCCGAUUAGUCCAUUUGGCUAAAAUUGGCCAGUCAGUGUUGACAUGGCAGAUGGCCGGCCUUAGCGAGCACUGACAUGGCAACUGGUCGCGCCGGCAAGCUUUUUUUAAUAGUAUUUUUAUUUUAUGAAUAUUUAUUAAUUUUUUUUUAUCUUUUUUUUCCUUUUUUUUUUCCCUCCUCUCUCCUCCCUCCUCCUUCCUCCGACUUCGGCGAUCGGCUAGGCUGGCCGGUCGCCAGAUUGAGGCAAUCCAGCGGGCUCCCCUCGCGGUCACCGAGCGAGGCGAGCCCCUCGCCAGACAAGAUGGUGAGCCCACCUCGCCAGGCGUGAUGGCAAGCCCUCCUCGCCAGAUCCGGCGGGGGCUUGCCCUGUCGUCGCUGGGCACAAGCUUGCCGGAUUGCCUCAGUUCGGCAAUUGGCCAGCCUCACCGGUCGCCGAAGCCAAAGGAAGGAGGAGGGAGGAGGGAGGAAGGAAAAAAAAAUUAAAAAAAAAUUAAAAAAUAUUUCAAAAAAUAAAGUAUUAUUAAAAAAAAAAAGCUCGCCGGCCGGCUAAUUUUAGCCAGAUGGACUGAUCGGAAAUAAUUGUAAAAAGUUUAGGACUCAAUUGGUCAACAAAAUAAGUUUAGAAUUGAAUUAACACAAUUACAAUAGAUUUAUGACUUUUUUGAUAAUUUUUCCGGAGCAAUGAGUUGGCAAAGAAAAGUCAGCAUCUUGCGCUAAUCCUAAGUUCAACGCCUGGAACUUGCUAUCCGCUGAGGGACUCUCCUAAAACAGGAAACAUCCAAGAAAAAAAAUACAUAAAGUUCUGUGUUUCACAAUCGCAUCAAGCAAAAGAAAACACAGUGAAGAGUACAAAAGAAAUGCCUCAGCCGCGCAUUGUAUGACAUUGAACUAAUCGUCGGGGCGCAAGAAAUCGUCAAGGGCGCAUGACAUUGAACUAAUCGUCGGGGCGGAAGAAAUCGUCAAGGAUCAAGCAAGUCGCCAUGGAAAUCCCAAAAUUGUGCCUCCACAUAAGAGAUUAUAAUAUCACUCGCAGGAUCAUGCCGAUAGGACACGACAUUAAUACAGCUGGCCAAUGACUCUCAUGCAUAGAGACGAGAAGAAAAGGGAAACUUUAAGGAUUCAACUUCAUGAGGAAUCUUUCCAGUCAUCGAUGUUCAAGUCAAUGCCUCCAAGCAGCCGUGCACGGCAACAUAGAACUCAGAGCCAGAUCAUUCAUUACGACAUCAGAACCUUAGGCACAUGUCUGUCUGACCGAGUCAACAUUGUCUCAACUACUCCUCUCUUUUAUACAAGGUCUAUUUAAGACAAGCCAUAGCAAAGUCGUAACCAAGCAGCAACGCGUCACUUCAAUUUGCAGAAAGAGAUGAAUCUUCCUUUCAUUCAUGGUGAAGUCAAUGCCUCCCAAGGAGCUGGGCAUGGCAAUAUAGAACUCAGAGCCAGAUCAUUGUUACAACAUCAGAACCUCAGGCACAGGUUCCUCUGACAAAGUCAACAUCGUCUCAACUUGUCCUCUCUUUAGUACAAGGUUUCCCCAGGACAAGCCAAAGCAAAGUCGUAACCAAGCAGCAACGCAUCGCUCCGGUAUGUAGAAAGAGAUAAAUCUUCCUUUCAUUGAUAUUGAAGUCAAUGCCUCGCCAAGGAGCUGUGCAUAGUGAUAUAGAACUCAGAGCCAGAUCAUUCAUUACGACAUCUGAACCUAGGUACAUAUUCGUCUGACAGAGUCAACAUUGUCUCAAUUUGCCCUCUCUUUUGUACAAGGUUUCUUCAAGGCAAGCCAAAGCAAAGUCGUAACCAAGCAGAAACGCGUCAGUUCGAUAUGCAGAAAGAGAGUACAAGAUCUUUAUUGGGCAAUCAAGAAAGCUCCUCAAUGGAACUCUAGAAGUAAACGAGCGGACGAUGUACGAAUUGUCCAAGAGCAAGAAAACUCCCAGGAAAGUUGGCGAUAGAAGCUGCUAUAACCUUACUUUAUCCUCUGCUAGAUCCACUUAUUCUCCCCACCUUUCAUACAGGCAUUUCUGCUCGCUCUCAUCCCAAUCCAGGCUAUUCAUGAGCAGAAAUUUUAGAAAUCGGAUUCAGGUUCCAUUGAACCGUUAGAAGUUCUCCUCAGCUGAUUUGCUGUGCAAAGAAGCGUCUGUUUUUGAGCUUCUCCAGACUGCAAAAUGAAGGUCGAGAACAGUGCUGAAGGCCCAAGCAGCAUUCAUCUGAAUAUUCCUCAGCUUCAGAAGAAAAAUGAAAUCAUCAUUUCACCCAUUAGUGCUGUUACGAGAGAUGGAAGCACUGGAAACUCCGUUUCCCCCCCAUUACAGGCUGUUCCUGCCCCGGAGAAAAAGCUGACUCUGUUUGCUCUCCGCCUUGCGGUUCUUGAAAAAGCUGCCACUGGCCUGGGAGCCCUUGGUUUCAUCUGGGCGACUGUUGUACUCCUGGGGGGCUUUGCCAUUUCCUUAGACAAAAACAACUUCUGGUUCAUCACCAUCAUUUUAAUAAGUGAAGGAACUCGAAUAUUCAGCAGGAGUCAUGAGCUGGAAUGGCAACACCUGUCCACUUCAUCAAUUGGUGAUGCCGGAAUUAGCAGCUUCCGAAAGCUCAGAUCGAGCUCUAGAGCUCUAGCUGAAUCCGUGAAGGAUAUGUUGAGUCCCGUAAGUUCUGGUACAAGGAAGCCAAGUCAACACAGCAGGGAAGUUUUCGAAACUACAGAUGCGACAAAUGUCAGAGAGCAGAAAUUGCAAAGGAAGCCAACCCGGAAAUGGACGCCUUCAGAAGUUCCUAUUCUACCUUAUGGAGGGUGGGUUUUCCUUUCGAGAAAUAUCAGCAAGAUUUUCUAUUUGCUUCAGCUCUUAUCUGCGAUAGCCUGCGUCGUGCUCUCAUUGAUGAAGCUCAUCAUGCACAAUUAUGGUAAGGUAAAAGAAGGAGAGAGUAAGAACCAGAAAACUUCUCUGAUUAUCUUUUAUGCCUUGGCUUUGGCAGAAGCUCUGGUCUUCCUGACAGAGAAAGUUUACUGGCAGUGGACGGUAGUCAUCUGUAAGCUUCUUGAAGGGGUGAAUGAGGAAUGCAAUCUGGAGGCUUCAGGUAUGAUCUCAACUCGGAGAUUUUUCUAUGACUCCUACUCGAGAUGUAUUAAUGGGAGCAUUUUUGAUGGCCUGGGAAUGGAUAUGGUGACUUUUGCAAUGGAUCUCAUAUGUUCAAACUCGCCAGAUGAGCAGCUCAUAGGAGCCAGGAUUCUUCACCGAUUUUCUUUCACAAAACCAUUUUCAGAUGACACGCUUCAGAAUGAGAAAGAUGAAGAACUUCAAACAAGACUUGUGAAAGAUGAAGAACUUCAAACAAGAUCAAGUGCACGAAUCUGAAGACAAUUUGUAUUUCCAAAUGAUGAUCAUAUCAUUGUAUUUCAGUACAAUUGAAACAACAGAAUGUGAAGAAACUUCUGUUGUUCUAUUCUUCUUAGAUCAAAUGUACUUAACUUGCUUCAGAGUUUCGGAUUUGAGCUGUUCUUCAUUCUCCGAAAGUUUCUUCUCUUCUGUAUCAAGAUUCCUUCUGCACUUAUUGAUGAUCUCGAUACAUUGUUCUCUCAAAUCUUGCAACCUCUCUCUCUCUCUAUCUUUCUAUCUGUUCUUCCUUACUUCUUAUGUAAAGCAAAGCAGAGUACUUAUACCAGAAUAUGUAACAGCACUUAGUUACAAAGGAAAACAGAAUACAGUAACUACUUUAACAGAAAGAAUCUAUUUGACUAAGCCUUAAGACUUUGGCAAUCCGAGUCAUUAAGCCCUCGAGCAUCUUCGUUCAUUGAUCAUCUGGCUAUCCGAGUUAUUAAGCCCUCGAGCAUUCUCGUUCAUUGAUCAUUGAUCCAGUCAUCUUCGUUUCUGGAUUCAGGUCCUCUGUUUUGGUCCUCUGUUUUUGCUUCUGCAUUUGAGCAUCUUCGUUACUUUUAUACUUAACACAGAAGAUCGGUACAACUCCGCCAGUUAUAGAGAGAUUGGUGGAGAUCUUGAACUGGGAAGACCCGCAAGAGGAAGAAAUCAGGCUAUCAGCUGCAAACAUAAUUUCCAAAUUAGCCGGGAAAAAGCAAAACUCCCUUCGGGUCGUUGGAAUAACUGGGGCAAUGGAAUCGAUAUCAUCUCUUCUACAGACAAACAGAAGCCCCCGUUCUAAAGCAGACAAAAUUGGCGAAAAGAAAAAUUUUGACCAUGAAGCCUAUGGAUACUGGACUUUCAAUAGUUUGGGGCUACUCAUUCUGAAGGAACUAGCCCGUGAUCACGAUAACUGCGGAAAAAUUGGAAACACGAGGGGUCUUCUUUCCAAAAUCAUAGAUUUCACUCAUGCUGAUGAAGCAAUAUUGAGGGACUCAACUGUCGCCACAUUGCAGGUUUUGACUGUUGAGAGAUCCCUAAAGGUUAUUAAGAUGCUGGCAAGCACAACGGGUACCACAGGGAGAAAACUCCGGAGAGACAUCUCGGAGAGAGUCUUCACCAUAAGCAACAUAAGAGAUAUUCUACGGUACGGAGAGAAACAACCAAAACUGCAGAAACGAGGGAUUGAGAUCCUUACCAGUUUGGCACAGGAUGAUGAUGCGACAGAGCGAAUGGGAGGGACCGGUGGAGUUCUGAAAGAACUGUUAAAGAUUUUCUUCCAAGAAGGAGUGCCAAAAGAUCAAAAGGACGUGAGAAUCGCGGCCGGAGAAGCCCUGGCAAAGCUGGCUUUCGGGAGCAAGAGCAACUGUCAUCGAAUCUUGAAGUUAAAUGUAGUGGAGAGGCUCAUAGAAGCAUUGGAGAUUCCGCUUCUUCAUGUCAAUGCUGGAAGAAUUUUGAGGAAUAUGUGCGCUUACAGUGGGCCAGAGUCCUUCAACCAGCUAAAGGGAGUAACAGCAGCGGCACCAACAGUAAGUGCAUUAUUUUGCAAAAACUGAACCUAAGCCGACAUCUCCAAAACCGGAAAAGGCAGUUAUGUACAAGUUUAAGAUAUCUCAGAGUGAAUGAUAUUAAUUAUUCCUACCUAACCAAAUUUCCUCAACUCAGGUGCUCAAGGCAAUCUUGUCAGGAGAAGGCAAACUGCAAGAGGUGAUGGUUGGGUUAGCGGCACAUGCUUUCAAGUUCAUGACAGCAGAAGAAUCGACUGCUGUCUUUGAGAGGGCAGGGUUCGAAGAAACAAAAUUAGCUUGCGCUUUGGUCGAGAUCCUGAGGAGCUAUAGGUAUCCAGAUAUAAAGGUGCCAAGAAUGAGAAGGUUUGCUAUCGAGCUGGCAAUCUGGAUGAUGAGAGACAAUAUGAAGAAUGUCCAGAUCUUCAGGGAUCUGGGCAUGGAGGAGGAGCUUGAAGGAGUUUUGGAUACGACAUCAGAGCUAGAGAGCUUCAAUAUUUUCUCUGGCAGCAUCGGACUUCGCAGACACAGCACGACCAUUCACUCACUUGUUGAGACCGCACUUAUGCUGCUGAAGGAUAGGUUUGAUCAACCGAUAGGUCACUGAGCAAGCGAAGUUGCCAAAUUAUCCGACAAAUGGGAAACAUGAAGGUAUGCUAGACUGCACAUUUCAUUCUCUAAUUCCAGAAGCAAAGAAAUAAAGGUAAUUGCUUCUUUAGCAACUCUGCCUGGCUUAAGUCUGAUGUUCUGAAAGUUAUCACCUUCCUUGUUUGUUUGCAGGCGGAAUUUGUGCGAUUUACAGCUCACCCCAUGUACUACUUCCAAAACAUAUGCAAGAUGUGUACAUACACUUAUAAGAAAAUUGUGGACCACAUGAUGCUAUUAAUUAAUGAUUUAAUAAAUAGUUAAUGUUAAAAAAAGUUCCGACUCUAAUGAAAGGAUACAAUCUUCAUUGAGAAGUUACCCUUUUUUCUGUUUCUUCAGAGGUCGCGGCGUUCGCAGGUAAUGCUGCUCUCCGUGUCUUCCUCCUCCGUCGCUUUUUCGCCUUAUUUUUGUUCCGUGAUUGCUCGGAGUCGCCGCCCUCAAAUUGCGAUCUUGGAGCUCACGCGAGCAGAUUGGGCUCGACGGGUUAUCGAGAACCCGUUUUUUCUUUCUCUCUUUUUUUUUUUGUUGGGUUGUAUUUGGAAAUGGAAAAAGGUGGCGGGACUGCUUUGAUUAGAGCCUUAGGCGUUGAUGACGAUGCGACGAAUUUUUCAAAGGUGUUAGCAUCGACGAUUUGGUAAAUGGUCGCCGGCCUAUGCAUAUGUUGCUGAUCUUUUGUGGGGGACCGGCUGCUUGCUCAGGUUAGCUUCCCCUGCACAAAAGGAAAAAGAGAAAAGGCCUUAAUCAUGAGAUGAUAUGGAGGGAUAUAGGCGCGCUGGUUGCAUUAAAUUCUAAAAAGAUUUUUACUUUCGGGACAAGUCAUACGCCGUUUAAUUGGGCUGCGAUAAAGUCGGAAUUUUUUUGGCUGAUUUUCCUCCUCUGGGGAUUUCGCAGGACAGCCGGUCGAUCUCAUACCAGGGGAAACAUCGUCUGGUUCGAUAUGAAGGUCAGCGUGCGAGAGUCCACGAUGGCGCCGAUCCACGCCCUGUGGAAUUCCAACGUGGACCACAUUAUGCUUUUAUGGAAAGUACUUAUUGAUAGCAUAUAUAAAUAAGAAUGUAUUUGGUAACGUUUAUGAGAAAAAGUGUUUUUAUUUUUUCUUCCCCUAGAAUAGAAAUAGAACAAAAACGUGUUUGAUAAUUUUUUUGUUCUCGGAAUAGAUUUGUUUUUGGGAAUAGAUUGAAAUAGAAACAAUAAACAAAAAUUGCUUCUUUGUUUCUUGGAAUAGCUCAAGAAACAAGCCUUUUCUCUUUUCUUUUCUUCUUUUUCUCUUUCUCUCUUCUUCCCCUUAACUUGUCACCGGCCUCGACGAUGGUCAGUGAUUGGCCAAAUAAGGCCCAGCGACCUCACCGAAGCCUCGCUAGCCCCCAACAAGGUCGCUCUGAGCUCGUCGGCCACAAGCAAGGCCCCCUUGAGUCUCACCUACCCAUUGGCAAGGCUUGACCUUGGCCGACCAUUGCAAGGUGGCCUUGCCCACCUAGGCGAUGCUGAGCUUGCAAUGGUUAGGCAAGGUCACCUCGCCUAACCAGUCCUCCAUCUCGACUAGCUAGGGCGAGGCUCCUUGAGACCGAUGACCUUGCCACCCUCAUCUGGCGAGUGACCAGCUAGAGAAAGGAGAAGAAAAAGGAAAAAAAAAAUAAGAGAAAAAAAGAAAGAAAGAUGUAAUAAAAUUAUUAAUAAAUUAAAAGAAAUUUUAAGUUAAAAAAAUAUUUGGGUUGUACCAAACACAUUUUUGUUUUGAGAAUAUAAAUUUUGUAUAGUUUCUAAAUGCCUUAAAAUACUUAGAAACUGAUCUGAGAACAAAAAUAGAAAAGAAAAUGUUUCUAAAUAAAAACUAUUCCCGGGAAUAGAAACAUAAUCACUACACAUUUUAAGAAUCUGGUUCUCCCUUCACCCUCAUUGUGAAAUAUCAUCAAUAAAGGUAUGUUUUCAUUCUCUUCAUUGUGAAAUAUCAUGAAGAUCAAAGAUUUCCUGUUUUGAAUUUCCGCAUAAAAGAAUUACACUAUUGCUUACAACACCCACACAUUCUUUUAUUUCACAAUUUAACUCUUGAAAAUGGAAGCAUCCAAGAGUUCCAUAUACUGUGAUUCUGAGCUCACCACUUCCGCUACUAAAAGAUCAGAUUUUUCCUUCCAAAUUUUGCUCCACUUAGCUGCGAAUCAAGGGUUAAGGACGAUAUAGUCCGAGGCAAUCAUCACAUAAUUUUCAAAUGACUACACAAGAACGAGAAUUCCAAAAGGCAAUUCAUCGUGCUACCGAAGUUGAUAAAAAGAAAGAACUUAUCGCUUACUUUGUGACGACGGAAGGAAAUCUGACCAUGAACCCACAAAAUUAUCUGCCUUAUUCGCUUCUCUGAACCACCCCAGAACAGAACGAGACAAGAACCAAAGAAAAAAAGGGGAACUUGCAGUUGAACACUUCACUCUAUAAAACGCAAGGCAAUGAACUAUGCUCAUAACUAUGAAAAACGAGACGUUCUUGCGAUUGAAUUCGUCGGGAAACUUGUUACCCCUCAAGAUCAGGGAGUUUCAGCGCCGAGAUGAGUGAGGAUUGAGUGUCUUGAGGGCGAGCGACCUCAGUCGCUGCGAAUUGCCAAAAUGAAGAACAAAUGGUGGAGGGAAAGGUGAGAAAUUGAAAGAACGAAAAUUAGUUAAAAAACUGUUAACCCCAAACAAGAAAUUGAAAAAGAAAUAUUACUCAAAACGAAAAACGCCACAAAUGAUCUCUAUGACCCUUUUAAACUUUUAAUUUGUUUAAUGUAGUAUUGGACAUUUGUACAUGUUCUAGGACAAUAGUGAACAUUUUCAUAUUGUUUAAAGACUAAAUUGAAUAUGUAUUAAAAUUUUAAAUAUCACAUUGAAUAAAUUAAAAGUUCAUAAACCAUAUUACACAUCUAGCCAUAGUUUAAAAAUCAUUUGUGCUAUUAUUCCUAUUCAAAACAAUUUCAAGUCAUAGUCGCAUGAAUUCACCAUAUAUUCAAAAAGAAAAAAAAAAUACAUUUUUGACUUUUUUAUUUUUUUAAGUUAAAAUUACCCUUUGGUUCUUUCGUUCGUUUUCACCCUUUGUUUCUUUUGCUCGUCUUCAUCCAUUUUGGAACAACCGAUCACUUUUUUUUUUUUUUUUUUAACUAUUAAAUUUUCUGAAUUAUCCAAAGUUUCAUGCUUACCUACUAUACAUAAUUAUUCAAUUUCUUUCUAUGCGUAAUUACUUAAUUAAGGACACGCAAACGCCAGCUGCAACGCGUGCCACAACCCUUAUCGAAUAUCAAGGAAUAGAGGGCCAAUAAAAGUGGCGCCUUCUUUCUUCAUUUUGAUGUCGCCACGCAUAAUAAUUUGUCUUCUCAGAUAAAUGGUUAAUGGGUCUCCGAAUUUUGGCGAGCAGAUAGAAGUAAUUUCUCCUCAUGCAAUAGCCGCCUGGCUAGACCUUCUUCGACGACAAAGCACUGAAAGCAGGGGACCACUUGUGUGUCCUCUAGCUCGAGACAAAGACAUCUCCAGCUAGCCACAAACGAAAUUGCAAACUGCACUUAACACGACACGGAAAGAAUCGUCGAGGAGCAAGCAAGUGGCUGUGGAGAUCCGAGAAUGCGCCUCUCAUGAAAGAUAUUAUGAUACGAUUCCUUGCAUGAUCAUGCGGAUACGAAAGCGCAUUACUAGAUUUCGACGAAACGAACUGCCGUAAUAAGGAGGGAAGACCCAGUUGUUGUUCCAAGUGAUGUGGCGAUUUCCAAACUGGACCGAAUGACCAUGAAUUUCGACAGCACGCUUGACCAAAUGACUCUCAUGGAAAGGGACGCCCGAAGAAAAAGACGACUUUGAAGGUUCAACUUCCCGACUAAUCUUCCUUUCGAUGAGGUUGACAUCGAUGAUGCCUUUCGAGGAGCUGUGCACGGCAAUAUAACUCAAGAACCCUGAUCAUUCAUUAUAACAUCAGGACCUUAAGCAUAUGUUCCUCAGACAGAGUCGAUAUCGUCUUGCACUUGUCUUCUCUCCUGUACAAGUUCUGUUGACUACAAGCCAAAGCAGUGGCCAAGCAGCAAGCACAUCGCUCCAUAUGCAGAAAGAGAGUUCCGCAUCUUCAUCAGGCAAACAAGAAAGAUCGUCAAUGGAGCUUUAGAAGUAAACAAUCCAACGAUACUGGAAUUUGGUCCAAGAGUAAGAGAACUUGCAGGAGAGUUGGCAAUAUAAUCUGCUUAACCUUCCUUUUCCUCUGCUAGAUUAAUUUUCUUCUUUUUCUCCCAACCCCCCCCCCCCCCCCCCUCCUUCCCCCCACAGAGGCAUAGCUGCUCUGUCUCAUCCCAAUCCAGGAAAUUCAUUUACAGAACAUUUGGAAAUUGAAUCCAGGUUCCAUUGAACCACUAGAUGGAAGUUUUCGUCAGCUGAUUUGACAUAUAAAGAAGAGUGUUCUUGAGCCACUGCAGACUACAAAAUGACGGUCAAGAGCUCCACUGAAGGUCAAAGCAGCAUUCAUUUGGAUAUUCCUCAGCUUCAGAAGAAAAAUGACACCGUCAUUUCACCUGCCACAAUGUUUGAGCCACAAAAUAGUGCUGGUACGAGAGACAGAAGUAGCGGAAACUCUGUUUCCCCCACGCUGCCAGCUGUUUCCGCCCCGGAGAAAAAGCUGACACUGUUUGCUCUCCGCCUUGCAGUUCUUGAAAAAACGGCCACUGGCCUGGGAACCCUUGGUUUCAUCUGGGCGACGGUUGUACUUCUGGGGGGCUUUGCCAGUACCCUAGACAAAACCGACUUCUGGUUCAUCACCAUCAUUUUAUUAAUUGAAGGAGCUCGAAUAUUCAGCAGAAGUCAUGAGCUGGAAUGGCAACACCAGUCCACAAGGUCAAUAGCUGAAGCUGGAGUUAGCAGCUUCCGAAUGCUCAGAUCAAGCCCUAGAGCUCUAGCUGAAUCCAUGAAGGUUAUGUUAAGCCCUGUAAGCUCUGCUACAAGGAAGCAAAGUCAACAGAGCAGGGAAAUUUCCGAAACUACAGAUGCAACAAACGUUAGAGAGCAGGAAUUGAGAUGGAAGCUGACCCGGAUAUGGACUUCUUCCGAAGUUCCUAUUGUACCUUAUGCAGGGAGAGUUUUCCUUUCGAGAAACGUGAGCAAGAUUCUCUAUUGGCUUCAGCUCUUAUCUGCAAUAGCCUGCGCUGUGCUUUCAUUGAUGAAGCUCAUCAAGCGCAAUUUUGGUGACAUUGCUGAAAAGGACACUGACGAGAGGAACGCGAAAGCUGCUCUGUAUAUCUUUUAUGGCUUGGCUUUGGCAGAAGCUUUGGUCGUCCUGACAGAGAAACUUUACUGGGAGUGGAAGGUUGUCAUCUGUAAGCUUCUCGAACGAGUGAACGAGGAAUGCGAUCUGGGGGCUUCAGGUAUGAACUCGACUCAGAGAUUUUUCUACGACUCCUAUUGGAGAUGUAUUAAUGGUAGCAUUUUUGAUGGCCUGGGAAUGGAUAUGGUGACUUUUGCUAUGGAUCUCUUAUGUUCAAACUCGCUGGAUGAGCAGCUGAUAGGAGCCAGGAUUCUUCACCAGUUUUCUACGAAAGAACGGUUUUCAGAUGACACGCUUCAGAAGAUAGGAACAACUCUGCCAGUUAUAGAGAGACUGGUGGAGAUCUUAAACUGGGAAGACCCACAAGAGGAAGAAAUCAGGGUAUCAGCUGCAGAAAUAGUUUCCAAAUUAGCCGGGAAAAAGCAGAACUCCCUUCGGGUCGCUGGGAUACCUGGGGCAAUGGAAUCAAUAUCAUCUCUUCUACAGACAAACAGAAGCCCCAGUUCCACAGCAGAUGGAAUUAGAGAAAAGAAAAUCGUCUUUGACCAUGAGGACUAUGGACACUGGACUUUCAUUAAUGUGGGGCUACUCAUUCUGAAGAAACUAGCCCGUGAUCAUGAUAAUUGUGGAAAAAUUGGAAACACAAGGGGCCUUCUUUCCAAAAUCAUAGAUUUCACUCAUGCUGACGAAAGAAUAUUGAAGGACUCAACCGUUACCACAUCGCAAGUUUUGACCGUCAAAAGAUCCCUUCAGGUUAUAAAGAUGCUGGCAAGCACAACAGGUACCACAGGGAAAAAUCUGCGGAGAGAGAUCUCAGAGAUAGUCUUCACCAUAAGCAACAUAAGAGAUAUUCUACGACACGGAGAGAAACAACCAGAACUGCAGAAACUAGGAAUUGAGAUCCUUACCAGUUUAGCACAGGAUAAUGAUGCGACAGAGCGUAUAGGAGGGACUGGUGGAGUUCUGAAAGAACUAUUAAAGAUUUUCUUCCAAGAAGGAGUGCUGGAAAAUCAAAGGGAUGUGAGGAUUGUGGCCGGAGAAGCCCUGGCAAUGCUGGCUUUUGAAAGCAAGAGCAACUGUCAACGCAUCUUGAAGUUAAAUGUAGUGGAGAGGCUCCUAAACGUGUUGGAGAUUCCGGUUCUUGAUGUUAGUGCUGGAAGAAUUUUGAGGAAUAUGUGCACUUACAGUGGCCCAGAGUCCUUCAACCAGCUAAAGGAAGUAACAGCAGCGGCACCAACAGUAAGUGCAUUAUUUUGCAAAAAUUGAACCUGAGCCGGCAUCUCAAUAACUGCAAAGGGCAGUUAUGUACAAGUUUUAAGUUGUCCUGGAGAGAGUGACAUUAAUUGUUCCUACCUAACCACAUUUCUUCAACUCAGGUUCUCAAGGCAAUCUUGUCAGGAGAAGGCAAACUCCAAGAGGUGAUGGUUGGGUUAGCAGUGCAUGCUUUCAAGUUCAUGACGGCAGAAGAAUCGACCGCCUUCUUUGAGCAGGCAGGGUUUAGAGAAGCCAAAUUAGCUUGUGCUUUGGUCGAGAUCCUGAGGAGCCACCGGAACCCACAUAUAAAGGUGCCGAGAAUGAGAAGGUUUGCUAUCGAGCUGGCAAUCUGGAUGAUGAGAGAGAAAUCGACAAAUGUGCAGAUCUUCAGGGAUCUGGGCAUGGAGGAGGAGCUUGAAGGAGUCAUGGAUACAACAUCAGAGCUAGAGAGCUACAACAUUUUCUCUGGCACCUUUGGACUAAGCAGGCACAGCACGACCAUUCACUCACUUGUUGAGACCGCACUGAUGCUGCUGAAUAACAGGUUUGAUCAACCGAUAGGUUACUGAGCAAGUGACCAUGUCAAAUUAUCCAACAAAUGAGAAACAUGAAGCGAUGCUAGAAUACACAUUUCAUUCGCUAAUUCCAGAAGCAAAGAAAUAAAGGUAAUUGCUUCUUUAGCAACUCCCUUAAGUCCGAUGAAAUGCUUCUGAAAGUUAUAACAAUGUUUAUUUGUUUCACACGGAGUUUGUGUGUCAUGUGACGCACCACAUGUACUACUACCAAAACAUAUGAAUAUGAAUACAUACACCCAAGCAAUUUUUGCUUUACGAUUCAACUCUUGAACAUUCAAGCAUCCGAGUGUUGCAUAUCCCCUAAUUCUGAGCUCCCUACUUCUGCUAUUAAAAGACAGGAUUUCCCCUUCCAAAUCUUUUUCAACUUAGCAGCUACUCAAAUACUUAAGACGGCAUAAUCCAGUGCAGUCAUUCCAUAAUUUCAAACGCCUACACCAAGAUCAAGAAUCCCAGAAGGCAAUUCAUCAGGCAACAGAAGUAGACAAAAAGAAAAAGAAAGAACCCAUUGCUUACUUUGUGACGGCUUUAGAAGGACAUCUCGCAAUGAACCCAUAAAUUAUCUGCACUACACUCUGAAACCCCUUAAUUAGGAUGAGAACCGAAGAACCAAAGAAAAAUGGGAACUUGCAGUUGAACAGCUGACUCCACAAAGCAAAAGCGAAUGAAACUAAGAUCGUAAUCUACGCGAUUCGACAUUCGUGUGAUGGACAUCAGGGAGUUUUGGAGCUGAGACGAGCGAGGGUUCAGCGUCUGGAUGGUGAGCGAGAUCAGUCACUGUGAAUUGCGAAGAUGGAAAAACUAGAAAUGGUGGAGGGGAAGGAAGGAAACGGAACGAAAGUGAAUUGAAACUGUUGACCCUGCACAAGAAAUUACAAAAGAAAUUAUAUGUAUAUAUAUAGAGAUUACCCCCUUCCAUUCUUUCACUCUUUCAGUUGUCCACUCCCUUCUUUUAUGCUCACUAUUAAAUUUUCAGAAUUGUCCCUACUUGCUCUCUCUCUUGAGCUCACCUACUAUGCAUACAUAUUCAUUUUCUUUCGAUGCAUAAUUACUUUAUUAUGUGUGCGCAAGCAACGGUAGCUGCCAGGGGUGAGCAGCGGUCUAGGGUUGACCCUGGAUCAACCAUGGACCGGCCCAACCCUGUCGAUCCUGGUCCGGUUCCCAAGGGGACUGUAUCGGUUCUUGGUCCUGAAAUUCCAGGACUAAUACUGUGUGGGUUAGUCCUCGGUCCUAAGAGUUUUGGUGAGGUGGCUGAAGGAGACACUGUCGAGAGGCAAUGAAAAGCUGCUCUGUGUACCUUUUAUGCCUUGGCUUUGUCAGACACUCUGGUCGUCUUGACAGAGAAAAUUUACUGGCAGUGGAAGGUUGUCAUCUGUAAGCUUCUCGAACGGGUGAACGAGGAAUGCGAUUUGGGGGCUUUGGGUAUUUUGACAUGGAGAUUUUUCUAUGACUCCUAUUCAAAAUGUAUUAAUGGGAGCAUUUUUUAUGGCCUGGGAAUGGAUUUGGUCACUUUUGCUAUGGAUCUCUUAUGUUCAAACUCGCUGGAUGAGCAGCUGAUAGGAGCCAGGAUUCUUCACUGGUUCUCUACGAAAGAACAGUUUUCAGAUGACACGCUUCAGAAGAUCGGAACAACUCUGCCAGUCAUACAGAGACUGGUGGAGUUCUUGAACUGGAAAGACCCACAAGAGGAAGAAAUCAGGCUAUCAGCUGCAGAAAUAGUUUCCAAAUUAGCCGGGGAGAAGCAAAACUCCCUUCGCAUUGCUGGAAUUCCCAGGGCAAUGGAAUCGAUAUCAUCUCUUCUCUCAACAAAUGGAAGCCCCAGUUCUGCAGCAGACAAAAUUGGCGAACAGAAAAUCAUCUUUGACCAUGAAGACUAUGGAUACUGGAUUUCCAAUAAUUUGGGACUUCUCAUUCUGAAGAAACUAGCUCAUGAUCAUGGUAACUGUGGAAAAAUUGGAAACACAAGGGGCCUUCUUUCCAAAAUCAUAGAUUUCACUCGUGGUGACAAAAGAAUAUUGAAGGACUCAACCAUUACCACAUCGCAGGUUUUGACUGUUAAAAGAUCCCUUCUGGUUAUAAAGAAGCUGGCAAGCACAACAGGUACCAUAGGAAAAAAAUCUCUGGAGAGAGAUCUCAGAGAUAGUCUACACCAUAAGCAAUAUAAGAGAUAUACUACGACAUGGAGAGAAACAACCAGAACUUCAGAAACUAGGGAUUGGGAUCCUUACCAAUUUAGCACAAGACAACAAUGCGACAGAAAAGAACUGUUAAAGAUUUUCUUCCAAGGAGGGCCAGAAAAUCAAAGGGAUGUGAGGAUUGUGGCCGGAGAAGCACUGGCAAUGCUGGCUUUCGAGAGCAAGAGUAACUGUCACUGCAUCUUGAAGUUAAAUGUAGUGGAGAAGCUCCUAAAAGCAUUGGAGAUUCCGCUUCUUCAUGUUAAUGCUGGAAGAAUUUUGAGGAAUCUGUGCACUUACAGUGGGCCAGAGUCCUUCAACCAGCUAAAGGGAGUAACAGCAGCGGCACCAACAGUAGGUGCAUUAUUUUGCAAAAAUUGAACCUGAGCCGGCAUCUCAAUAACCGGAAAGGGCAGUUAUGUACAAGUUUAAGUUGUUCCUGAGAGAAUGAUAUUAAUUGUUCCUACCUAACCAUAUUUGUUCAACUCAGGUUCUCAAGGCAAUCUUGUCAGGAGAAGGCAAACUACAAGAGGUGAUGGUUGGGUUAGCGGUACAUGCUUUCAAGUUCAUGACAGCAGAAGAAUUGACUGCCGUCGAGAGGGCAGGGUUUAGAGAAGCCAAAUUAGCUUGCGCUUUGGUCAAGAUCCUGAGGAGCCACUGGAACCCACAUAUAAAUGUUCCAAGAAUGAGAAGGUUUGCAAUCAAGUUGGCAAUCUGGAUGAUGAGAGAGAAAUCAACAAAUGUGCAGAUCUUCAGGGAUCUGGGUAUGGAGGAGGAGCUUGAAGGAGUAAUGGAUACGACAUCAGAGCUAGAGAGCUUCAAUAUUUUCUCUGGCACCAUUGGACUAAGCAGGCACAGCACAACCAUUCACUCACUUGUUGAGACCGCACUUAUGCUGCUGAAGAACAACAUGAUUGAUCAAACAAAAGAUUACUGACACAGUGAUGAUGCCAAAAUAUCCAACAAAUGGAAAACAUGAAGGCAUGCCGGUUCAUUCUCCAAUCCCAGAUGUAAAGAAAUAAAUGUAAUUGCUUCUUUGGCAACUCUGUCCCACAUAAGUAUGAUGAAAUGCUUCCGAAAGUUAGCACCUUCCUUAUUUGUUUGCACAGGUUUUGUGCGAUUAACAGCACACCACAAGUACUGCUACCAAAACAUAUGCAAAAUGUGUACAUAGACCACAUUCUUAUAAUUUACAUUUCAACUCCUGUACAUUCAAGCAUCCAAGUGUCGCAUAUACCAUGAUUCUGAGCUCACAACUUCUGCUAUUAUAAGAUGAGAUCUUUCCUUCCAAAUCUUGUUCUACUUAGCAGUGAAUCUAAGACUUGAGGAUGAUAUAAUUCAGGGCCAUCAACACAUAUUUUCACAUGACUACGCAAGAACAAGCACUCUGAAAGGCAAAUUCAUCAGGCAACUGAAGUUAAUUGAAAGAAAAUAGAUAACUCAUUGCUUAGUCUGCGAUUGUGGAAGGAAAUCUAUGAACCCAUAAAUCAUCAAAACCACUCGUAUAUUUCGAAAUCAUAAGCACGGUAUAAUCACAAAGCCUGUUUGCUUAUCUAUUCAUCAACGAAUCAGAUGCGAGAUAUAGCUUCAAAGUUGAUCGCCGCUUGGUCCAGUGAGUCUCUCCUGACCCUUCUCCUCCCCCUCCUCGCCCACAUCUUCCCUGUCGUGAUAAGGGUUUGCCACCAACCCUUCUUGCCUCAUUAGAUUGAGCAGGAACCGCCGCUCCAGAAUAGGAAACCGCCGCCCUCUCUCCUCCUCUUCGAGCAUCCGAGAAUGCAGGUAGCACAAUUCGAGUCUCCGCAGUUGGGCUCGCAUCUCGCGGAACUCGUGCUCCGAGAUCGCGACCUUGUGAAUCAUGCUCACCGCCACCUCCGUCCUCUUGCGCCCCUCGUUGCAAGGGUUGCUAACGGCGCUGGACGCGACCCUUGCGAUCUCAGACGCUACCUCAUCACGGGUCAGGCACUUCUUCGUUGCCUUCGUCUCCGCACUUAAGUCGAGCCACCAUAGCCGGUCCAGCAAGAAGGGCAGCCGCAUGUCGUCCAACACGGAGGACACGAUCGCCCAGGACGGCGAUGAUGGCAGGUGGUCGCGGGAGGCGAAUGGCGCGCUCGGGUGCUCGGCUCGGUACGAAAAGGUACGGUGGUCGAGGAUGCGAGGCGGGAAUUCAGUGCCUCCUCGUACCUGGGACUGAAGAUAGCAGAGUUGGACAUGGAAUGACACGAUCACACGAGGUCCGGGCAAGGACUGAUCGUCUGGAACAGGCGUUGGCAUUGCAGAGACUAAAGUUUGAUAAUUCGACAUCUUUUCGAGAAAUCGUUGAGAUGGUAAAGUGGAUUGUUCUUGAAUUGGGCAUUGUAUAUAUAUACAUAGCGAAGAUCUCUAAAACUUUCCUUUUCUGAACGCAUGAUAUAUUUAUUUUUUUAUUUUUUUAUACUUUGAAUUACUUGUAUUACUUUUUUUUUUUUUGGAAUUUACCUUUUUAUUUCCUUGUCUAGUAUUUUUAUAUUUUAGGCAACUUCCUCUAGUUUUAACCCAGGCGAGCCGACUUUUUCUCACAUAAUAGUAAAAAUACACGAAUGUUGCAUGAAUUUAAAAAAAAAAUUCAAGAAAUUGUUUUAUAACAAAAUACUUAAAUUUUUUUUAUUAAAUAAUGGAGUUGCUCAUUGGAAAGAAAUAAAAAUUCAAGAUUUAAAUCUUUUUUUGAUAAGCUCGUUCAUAGGAUGGAAAAAUUCAAAUUUGAAAUUGAAGAUGCCAGAGAAAAUAUGAACAUAUAAAUUUAUAUAUUUAGCUGCCGAUAGAAUAUGGAAAAAAGAAAAAAAGGAUUGUGAUCGUCUUUACUUCAUCUAACAAUAAACUUAUUACAAAACUUAGAGUGCCAACAUUAAAUGGUAAACUUGAUGAUUGGGAAGCAAAAUUUCAAAUUGAUUUUUAAUUACAAAAAACCAUUUUCUUCUAACAUCCUGUGAAGGGGAAAACAAAUCGCAUGGAAGAAUUAACAAAAAAAAUCCUAAACUUAUUAUAAUUGCGUCAAUUCAAUCAUAACAUUUUUUUUGUCAAUUAAAUCUUAAAUCUUUUAUAUUUUUGCAAUCCGACCAAUUUUAACCGGUUAGGCUAAUAUGACACGGCUAGCAUUAACGUAGACAUUUUAAAUAAUAUUUUAUUUUUUUUAAUUAUUUAUUCAUUUAUUUAUUCUCUUUCCUUUUUCACUAAGAGUAAGUGCACCUCUUUUGCAAAAAGUGAACCUCAGCCGGUAUCUCGAUUACCAAAAAGGGUGGUGAGGGACAAAUCGACAAAUGUGCAGAUCUUCACCAAUCUGGGCAUGGAGGACGAGUUUGAAGGAGAGCAUACGGCAUUAGAGCUAGAAAGCUUCAAUUUCUUCUCUGGCAUCGUUGGACUAAGCAGGCACAACACGUCCAUUCACUCACUUGUUGAGAUUGCGCUUAUGCUGCUGAAGAGCAAUCUUUGAUUAAUUAAUAGGUUACUGACCAAGUGAUGAUGCCAAAUUGUCCAUGUAGGGUGCGCUACAUGUUUUAUUCUCUAAGGCUGCGUUUGACAGUCAAGAUAAAAUUCAUGAUAAUAUAUAAUUUAUCAUAUCCUACAUUUAGUGCUUGUUUAGGAUAGGAUAUAGUCGGAUAUAAGAAUGAUAUAGGUUGAAUAAAAUUAUCCCAUGGGAGAGGUGUGAUAAAGGUGAAUAAAAUUUAUAAUGUUUAUAAUAAAAAAGUUAUUUUUCUCAAAUAACAAACUUAUUAAAUUAAAAAAAAUUAAAACUAUAUAUCAAUAUAAAUAUAUUUGAAUUCUAAUUUAAGAAAUUAAAAUAAAAAAUAAAAACAUAUUUUUUAAUUUAAUCUUAUUUUAAUUUAUAUAUUCAACUUUAGAACAUUCCAUCAAUAAAUUAUAUUAAUAUUUAUUAUAUAGAUUUUAGGUAUUUUUAUAUUUUAGGUAUUUUAGUACAGUUUACUAUUUGAUAAAAUUUUAUUAAAGAAAGAUGAAAGGGGAAAAAAUAAUAGAUUAAAAAGGAGGAAAUAUAUAUUAAAAAUAAAAUAAAAAUAAGUUAAGGAAUAGUGUCACGAGAGAUUUUCAUCAUCUCCGUUUAUGAACUUUUAGAUUCAUUUAUAAUGAUAUGCCGUUUAUAUUAAAAAAAUGUACGUGAUAUGAUGUGAAUAUAUCCGAUUUUAAUAUUGCGAUUCACUAAACAACAGAUAGGAUAUGAAAUCAUAUAGAAAAAUUCCAGGAUUUCAUAUCCUAUCCUAUCCAGUCCUAUCAUGGUUAGAAAUCCGAACGACCAAACAUAGCCUAAUUUUAUAUGUAAAGAAAUAAAGGGGAAUUGCUUCUUUAGCAACUCUGCCGGCUUAAAUCUAAUUCAAUUAUUCUAAAAGUUAUCACAUUCUCUAUCUGUUCGUGUAGAAUUUGAGAGAUUGAUUAUAUAUUACAUGCACUAAAACAUAUGCAAAACAUAUACAUACAACUAAACAUGUUUUUCAUUUUUUAAUUGAAAUCCCAAAACAUUCAAGCAUAUGAGAGAUGCAUAUACGGUGAUUCUGAGUCACUACUUCAAAUAUCAAAAGAUCAAAUUUUUGCCAUCCGAAAUCUUGUUCUACUUAGCAAUGGAUUGAAAAGCUAAUGGACAAUAUAAUCUAAGGCAAUCAUGACAUAUUUUCAAAUGACUACACAAGAACAUGCGUGACGUACCGAUUUUCCAAUUCUAUUUUCAAUAAAUUGAGAUGGGCAUUUCGUUGGCACACAUAUAGUUCUUUUCCUUGAGUCGGCCACUCAUGUGAAAACUAGUCUAUCAGGUGAAGCCGUUAAGAAAUUCUAAUGUAUCAGACUCGAGAAUUUGACUAGGAAGCGAUCUUUUGACCGAGCUAAUUUGCAAGGGUCAUUGCGGCACAAUUAAAAAUUGUUUAGAGAUCGGAGAUAGGUCGACUCGACAGAGGCAUGUGAUCAGGUGUGGGUGAUUCCUAAAGAUUGCACAAUUCUAGUUGAUCGGCACUGGACCGACUUUUCUAUCGAUUGGGUACCCUGUGUCCAUAUUUAAAACCUUGAGAUUACCGACAACCGAAAGUCGCCAAUGUUUCAAAGAUGUACAUUGUGGCUUGAGAUGAUCAACCACAAGUCAAAUGCAUGAAAAUUUAUAAAGGCUACCCGGUAGGUUGGGCCACGCUAGUAUCGUGCCAAAGUGAAAUUAACCGUGGAAUUGAGAUCGAAUUCAGAAAUUGGAAGUAUGGGUGUGUCACAAAUCAUUUUAGGAAUAUUAACUCAUCUUCGGAAGAUUUUUCAUGUAAUCAGAAUUUUUCAGAAAUUAAAUCAGAGAAUGGCUAAUUUGGCUCGAGAAAUUAGUAGGUCCGCUUUUGGUCGCGCUUUUGGGACUUAAGUUGGUUCUAUGGACAAGUGAAGAUGCGAAUUGAAGUGUGGUAACAUUGGAUUAAUUUUAUGGACUUUAAUUGGACUCAAUUGGAAGAGAAUUGAGUGGAAUUGAAGAAAUCGUUGCACAAAGUUUUAUGCCCCGGCGGAAAAUGAAAUUGGACCCAUUGAAAUAGGUUGUAGAGGAAAAUGAGUUAGUGGAAGAUGACAUGGGAUGAUGUCAUGGUGGUUGGGCCAAAGAGAAAGUGGAGGGUGGAUAUUGGCUCUUGGAAAAGCACCCAUCAACAUCAUCUUCAAGCUUGGGACUUUGGAGGGGAGAGAAGGGGGAGCUUCGACCAGAAGCUAGCCGAGCCCGACGCCGCCCUCUUCGCCCACUUGCACGCCUGUUCGCUGGAGCUCGCCGUCGCGGUCGCCAUUCGCCCGCACGCCUGUCGCCGUGCCCGCUUGUCGUCGCACCGCCUUCUCCGCUCCGCUUCGCUCGCGUCAGCCCAUCACCACCGUUGUCCAGAGCUGCAUCCAGCGUCGCCGGCUGCCGUUCACCGUCGCCAAGGUCGCCGGAGUCUCGCCUGCAGCCGCCGAGACCAGCUGCUGCCACCACCGGUUCUCCUUCGCUCAAUCGAUGCCGGAUCCGCUCCCUCUCGACCCCAAGACAGCAACCAAGAAAAUGGGUACGGCAUUCCAUGUUUGGCCCGUUUCGGCCGCCUUCCCGAGCCCGGAUGCUCGGCCCGCCUUGAGAAAAGUCGAUCCUCGCAUCGUCCUUGUCAUUUUGGUUCGCUCGGCUCGCUAAUCUGGCGAGUUUAACUCACUAAACAUUGAUUAGACGGUUAAUGAUGCCCUAAGUGUGAUUAGCCUAAGUUAAGUAAGCUUAGGUGAUUAGUUUAGUUUAUUUAAUUGUGAAUUAGAUUAAGAUGUUUGUUUAAUUUAAAGCAUGUUUAAUUAAAGGCUAAGAGAGUUUAUUUGAUAAUAAACCUUGACGGGACAUAAUAGGAUUUUAAUUUUGAAUUAUUUAAUUGUUUCGAAAUUCUGGAAAUUAUAAUAUUAUAUUAUAAUCCGAAAUUAUUAAAAUAUUAUUAUAAAAAAAAGUAAAAGUUAUUGUUGACCCGGUUGCUCAGAAUUUCGUGCUGAUCGCUGCUGUGUAGUCAAAUUUUGAAAUUGAUGAUUGGAUAUUAUAAAUUGAGCGUGGAUCGUGAAAGAUAUGGAUAUUAUUAUUUAAUUAAUUUUCGAAAUAAAUUUAAUUAGUUAAUAAAUUCCGAAAAAUGAUUUUGAGACCCUAAAUUCUCAGAAUUUCGUGUUGAUCGCUGCUAUGCAUUUAGAAUUUGAAAUUGAUGAUUGGUUGUGGCAAAUUGAGUGUGAUUGCGAUAAAUAGAGAUUCUUUAUAAAAUCCUAAGUGUGGAAAUUGAUGGGCGAUUGGCCGUGAUAUGCCACCUAUUAGAGGUCGCGCCUAGUGAGGCCAUGAUAUGCCACCUAUUAGAGGUCGCGCCCAGUGGAGCCGUGAUAUGCCACUUGAUAAAGGUCGCGCUCAAUGGGGCCGUGAUAUGCCACCUGAUAAAGGUUGCGCCCAGUGGGGCCGUGAUAUGCCACCUAUUAGAAGUCGCGCCCAGUGGGGCCAUGAUAUGCCACCUAUUAAAGGUCGUGCCCAGGGGGGUCAUGAUAUGCCACUUAUUAGAGGUCGCGCCCAGCUGGGCCGUAAUCUACCACCUUUUUAAAGAUCGUGCCGAGUGGGGUCGUGAUGCCACUGAUUCUAAUUGUGCCGAGUGGGACCGUGAUUGCCACUGAUUGUUAAACUUUCCUAUAGGGCUGUGAUUGAGAGCAAUGAUUGAUUUGCUAGAAUGACAUGUAAUCGGCCGAGUUGAUUGAUCGCUGAGACGAUCCAAGUGGUUGAAUUGUUUUGAUAAUGUGAUUGUGCCAUGAUUGUUUGGUUAUCAUAAUUGUACGUGGUUGAAUUAUAUAAAUUGUGCUAACCUGCAGAUGAAGGCUAAUGCGAGGUAAGUCUUUUGUGUGAUGUGGCUAGGCCACCCGGGGCGUAUUUUCUUUCUAAUAGGGGUUUAUGGGUUGAACUUGCUGAGACAUUGUCUCAUCCCGGUUUGGGGAUUACAAUUUCAGGUCCCUAGUGGACGGAGCGGCUAGAUAGCUUUGGUUGGCCUUGAGGAGUUGCAGAGGUGAAGUCAUAAGGAUUGGAGAACGUGUCUGACUUGUAGGUCGUAGGACAGUUCCUUUUUAAGAGCCGGUCUUUUGUAGACUUUUGGCCGUAGACCUCUGUUUGUAAUUCUGUUGAAUUGUGAAAGUGUCAUGUUGUGGUUUUGUUUCCUGCUUGUCUAUCCCGUAUUUCAUUGUCAGGGGUUUUAUAAUACGUUCCGCUUGCGCAAUAAUUAAUGAAUGGGGUCGGCGACAUUACUUGGGAAUGUCGCAUUUGCAUGACCAUGGUGGGAUAUUGGCGUGCUCGAGGUUCGGGGCGUGACAACAUGACCCCCAAAAGGCAAUUCAUCAUGCAACUAAAGUUUAAUAAAAUGAAAAGAAAAACCACAUUACUUAGUCUUUGACUAUGGAAGGAUAUCUCACAAUGGAUCCAUAAAUCAUCUGAGUUAUUUGCUAAUUUGAAACCCUUACAUAGAAUAGAAUAACUUAUAGUUAAACAACUCACUUUAUAAAACAAAAGGCAAUGAACUAUGAGAAUCUAGACAUUUUUGUGAUUUAAUUCGCAGUAACCUCAUUACCGGUCAAUAUCAAGGGGUGUCUGUUGAGUUAUUUCCCUAACCCCUCCCCUUGUUGAUUCCAUAUUGUCUUGCUCCUUAUAGUACCCACUAGGCCACUGUGAUAUUUUACGACAUGUGGUCUUCUUUUGUCAGAACCUUUUAUGAACUUGCUUCGGUCCUAAGUGAAGAAGAAAUGGUGGAGGGAAGGAAGGACGUGAAAGAACAAAAUUGAAUUAAAACUGUCAAAUAACUAUAUAUGUCCCGGCCAAAACAUCAUUUAUCUCGUUUUUCUUUCUAUUUUUGUAAAUUACCCUUCACUUCUUUCUCUGUUUUACUUAUCAAUUUCUGAAAUAAUCACUCUGUUUCUUUCUAUUUUCUUGGAACAUUGGAGGCAAUAAAGUUUGCCACCAUUUUUAGCUAUUCGAAAUGAAAAGUUCUGAUCGAUAAAAACAGAAACACAUAACCUAAACGUUGAUAUCUUUAGAGGCUUUAUAAAAAAAAAAUUUUAAAAAAAAAUUGAGGUGAUAGAGAUUAAAUAAAAUGUCCAAUUUCAAACACACGCUAAUAGUAGAGCUUAUGAUUGUACAAUGACGCCUCAAACAUUUGAUCUUAUUUAGAGUCAGAAAAUAUAUUUUACUCUAUUUUAACAGUAAACAAAAUAUAUAUGUAAUACAUGAGUGUGUGCUCAAGCACUCCAAUUCCAAUGGUCGAAAACAUACUCUUAUACAAAAGAAACACAUAAUAUUCAUAUAAUGUUAAUUUUUGAAAUUAGCUGCUCUAAAUUCUAAUCACCGUUAACGAACCUAACUUUCUGCAUUAGGUGGGGCUUGUAAUUUAAGCCCUAUUUUAUCCUUUCGGUUGGGCUAGCAAGUUCAUGGUUCAAGCUUUUCUAAAAGAUUUCUUUGUCCAGGUAGAGAAAAAGCAAAUUCGAUAAAAUUUUAGUUUUUGAGUUAACCAUGCACCGUAAACAAAAAACAUAAUUAUGAUACAUAUGCUUACAAGGUGAAUUUAUUGUUUAAGUAUUUGAUAAUUAUAUUUUAAAGUCUUGGAAUUUGAUCAUAUAAAUACAUUUUUAAAAGAAUUUAAAAAGUGAAAUAAUUUUGGGUUAAAUGGCCAAACCGUCCUGGAUCAAACCGAGUAAUUUUCGGUCUAGGCUUUCGAGUUUUCCAUACUAAAUAAUAAAAGGAUUUGGUUACAAAAAUCAAAUAUUUUUCGUAAUCAAUCAUGAUCACUUGGAAAAUUAGAAAAAACUUGGAUCUCAAUACUCUUAGUCGACAAGUUGUACCGACACAGAGAACAUGUUUGGUGUUCCCAAGCUUCGAUGCAAUUUUUUGUGAAAUUUAUGAUGAGCUUGAUGUUUGGGGAAAAAGUUUUUAAACUUGAUUAUUGACAUGCGAUAACUUCUCAAAUACAUUUUUCUUUUCAAAUAUUCGGACUCGUAAAAUUUGAUAGUUGACUUUUGAUUUUGAAGGGAGGCUCAAGAUAUUAAAAUACGGAUAUGUAAAUUCAUAUAUAAAUUUCGUAAUAUUUUGGAGCUUUCAGUGAAUUCUUUGUUAAGAUUUGGAAAAGAAAAAAGAGAGGCAGGUUGUGCGAUUUCUUUAAAUUAAUCCAAACAAACUCUCAAUCUAUAACUUCAAAUUGAUGAUAUAGAUAGGUUUGGUUCAAGUUACAGAAUUUUAAUUUACUAGGAGAAGAUCGGAACAUGGUAAUGGAGCUCAUGCAGUCAGAGGAAGGUAAGGGUGCAAAAGAAGUCUAAAAGUCCAGAAAAAAAAUCCACGGUAGAUAAUAAAAAGACUUUUUUUCAGGUCUCAAGAUAAUAAAAGAACUUGAUUACACGUUAUAUAAUCGCAAAAAAAGACAAAUUUUAAUAUAGCCAUAACAAGUAUUCAUAAUAUUUGAUGUGCGGUAAUAAAAAAAAUAAUCAUCGUAACCUAUAAUUCCGAACAAUGACUUGUUUGAAACUCUAUAUGCAUCCAUGUAAUUAAUCUUGAAUCUCCAGUCUCCUAAGGAAAUCGGAAAAGUUAAAAAUCUCUUGACUUCUAGGGGGACAAGGGGCGCCGACAUAGGGGGCAUGUGGGGUGUACCUUCAACCAAGUUUUGAUGCAAUCUGUGUGAAAUUUAUGAGAGCAAUCCAUGCGAAUAAGUUGGCCUCCGAUCGCAACUUCUUCCAUGCAAAUCACACAAUGCGAACUAUUUGAGCCUUGAUCACCCUCAAACGUCACUUUGUUCAAGCUUUCAAUCAUUGACUUAUGUGCGGCUCCGAAGUUGAUCCUGUCUUGGUCCACCGACUCCCUCAUGACCCUUAUCCGCAACACACCCUCCGUGUUGCGAUCAGGGGUUGUGACUGCUCCUUCUUGCCUCGUUAGAUUAAGCGCGGAUCGCUGCCCCGAAAGUAGCCGCCGCCAUCUCUCCUCCUCUUCGAGGAUCCGCGAAUGCAAGAUCCGCCACUGGAGCCUCCGCCAUCGGGCUCGCAUCUGGUGCUCCGAGAUGGUGACCUUGUGCACAAUGCUCACCACCAUCUUCGUCCUCUUGCGCCCCUCUCUGCAAGUGUCGUUCACUGCGUGGGACGUGGCCCUCGCGAUCUCGGACACAAGCUCGUCGCGAGUGAGGUACUUCUCGGUCACGUGCAUCCCCACACUCACGUCGAGCCAUCGCAGCCGGUCCAAUGGGAAGGGCAGCCGCAUGUCGUCCAACAUGGAGGACACAAUCGCUCGCGACUGCGAUGAUGGCGAUCUGUCGUGGGACACAAACGGUCCGCUCGGGUACUCAGCUCUGUACCAAAAGCCACCAUCGGAGGCACGAGGCGGUAAUGCAGUUCCUCCUCCUACUUCAGACUGAAUAUAGCGACGUCGGACGAUGCAUGACAUGAUCACCCGAGGUUGGGGCAAAGACUGAUUGUCGGGAAUAUACGCUGGCAUCGCAAAAACCAAAGUAUGAUCACUCGCCAUCUUAAAAGGGAUGUCGAGAUGGCAAGCCAAACAAUCUUGGAUUGGUUGGAUUGGGUAUAUAUAGGUAACAUUACUAAUCCGAAUAGGAAACUGCACUGUUUCCUAGACUGCCUUUGACAAGAUUCCUGUGAAAAAUUAAUUUUUUUAUUUUAUUUUUGGCUUUGUUUUAUCAAGAUUGAAGAGUGUGUCUUAUCUUAUAGGUCGUGAAAUCACCGAAAUUUAUGAAACACAACGCUGGCACUGCAGAAACAGAACUUUGAUAGUUAUUUAAUCAUUUAAGUAAAAUGUUUCGAGUACUUUCCUCUUGUUGAGAUAUCUUAUAACCUGUGCAAUUACCAAUAUUUACGAAAAAUUGUAUCUGUGAGAUUUUCUCUGCUUAUUAUUAAAUAGACUUCCAAGAUUUCUUUGAGUUGUUGAUCCGGAAAACUUGCUAUUGAAAGCGGCGACUAAAGUUCAAUAUCUUAAUACGUGGUGAUCUGCAAGAGAGAUCCCAUCGAUGUAUCCAAUUGGACCUACCUAAGCUUAAGUUAAAGAGCUAUGCACAAGUUAUUUGAUUAAUCAACUAACCUAAAUCACUAAUUCGUAUAUGAUGAAAAUGUAUAAAAACAUUACUAGGUUUACUGCACGGGUUUGGCUUCACGUAUUACCAAAAUAAAAAUCAAUAAACGAAAACAAAAACUAUUUGGUAUUGUAAAUGAAGGGGAAAUGAAAAUAGCUUCUAUACUAAUUUCAUGCAUUCAACAUUAGUUACCAUAAAUUUGUUCAACUGAAAGAAAACCAUAAUCAUCAACUGAUAGAACAGUUAGCUUAGCAGAAAAAAAAGAAAAAAAAAGAAAAGGAAUUUCUGAAAUUUCAUCAAUUCAUCUCCUUAAUAACUAGCUUCAACAUUGGAUCAUGGACUCAUGGGCUGCUCUGGGGUUGACCCUUGCUAAUUGGGAUAAUUACCAAAAGAGUCUUAAUCUUAUUGCGGUCGUACAAAUUCAGUUCUAAACUUUUUUUGGCUAGAUGAGUCAUAGACCUUUUAUAUUUGUGUCAAUCCAGUCCAUCUAGCCAAUGUUGACAUAGCACGACCUGUGCUCACAUAACCCAGCCAACACUACCGUAGAUAAUUUUUAAUAAUAUUUUAAUAUUUCUCAAUUUUUUUAAUUCUUUUUUUUCCUCUUUCUUCUUUCUCUGAUUAGUGGGGGAGACCCUUACCCACCUUGUGCCGGAUCCAACGAGGCUCAACCUCGCUAGUUAAGCUCCCUUCACUGAGCAACGAUGAGGGCUCGUUUCGCUUAUGGCUAGGUGAGGUCGCCCUUGCCUAGCGAUAGCAAGACGAGCCUCGCUAGUGGCCAGCAACUAGUCCGGUGAUUGGGUAGAGGAAGAAGAAAGAGGACAAAAAAAGAGAGAAAAAAAAAAGAAAAAAAAGAGGAAAAAUAGUUAAUUUUUUUGAAAAAUAUUAAAAUAUUAUUAAAAAUUAUCAACGUCAACACCGGUCGUGCCACGUUAGCGCAAGCUAGCCAAAUUUGGAUGAAUUGAUUGAAUUUGCACAAAUAUAAAAGGUUUAGAACUUAUUUGAUAAAAAAAAAGUUUAUGAUUGAAUUGAUAUUAUCAUAAUAAGUUUAAAACUUCUUUUGUAAUUCUCCCCUUGCUAAUUGAUUUAUUGACUCCCUCUUCACUCUCUUCCUUAGCUCAUCUAAUUUCAACUUGUGAUUAGGGCUUUACUUAUUAUGCGGGAAAUAAAUUAUUUUAAAAAUAAUUACUAAAAUCAUCAUCUGUAUCCCUUGAAAAAAUUGGUCAAUGGAAAAUCUUUAUUAUCAUUUUUUUUUUCCAUUUUUCAUUGGGCGCACCAUUUAUCCUUCUGGUUACAUUACAUCAAACCAAAACUCCCGGUCCAAGGCUCGUAUUUUUCUCCCGCUUUCCUCCAUGGAGGAAACGGUUGCCCAUGACGGCAACGAUGGCGAGCGGUCGUUAGAUGCGAAGGGCCCGCUCGGCUGCUCGAAUUGGAAGGAAAAGCUACGGUCGUCAUCCACGAUACACGCCGGAGAGUUUGGUCCUUGUACAUCGGACUCAAUAUGGUAGCAAUUGACAUCGCACGAUAUGAUUCGAAGAGCAUGAGACAAAGAUCGAUCAUCUCGUCUAAAAGCGGGUUUUGCAGAAACUAAACUUUGAUAAUUCAACAUAUUUGAUGAAAAUUUUUUCAAGACUGAUGAAGUGGAUAUUUUUUAGUGAAACGUGACUUGAUUCUGCUAGAAAUCGGCUCGUGUUAGACAAGAAACAUUGCCAAUCCAAAAUAGGAAACACAACGUUAAUAUGUUUCCUGAAGUCUCUUUAAUCAUUGAAGUGAAAUUUUAAGUCCCAAACUUUUUUUUUCUUCUGGCUUUGGUUGUCAAGAUUGGAGAGAAUAUCUGAUCAAAUCAUCAGCAUUUACGGAAGAUUAUGUGUUAGAAAUUAAUCUGAUUAUUAGAUAUAGAUUCUCAAGAUAUUUUGAAUAGUCAGUCCCCAAAAACUUUUCUUUUCCAAACACAUGAUAUCUGAAUUAAAGAUGCUUUAAAUCACUUGUAUUUCCCUAAAGUUGCCCACUUUUAUUUCUUCAUCCAUAUCUUCCUUUUGGGCAACAUCCACCUCUAGUAUCAAACCCAAGUAAUUGUUUUUUUUUUUUUUUUCAAUAUACUAGCAAAAAGGCAUAUUGGCCCCCCGGGGGGGGGGGGGGAUUAAUGAAAUUUAAAAGAUUUAACAAAAAUUGCCUUAUAACGUGAUAUUUGAUUUAUUAAAUAGUGAAACUAGACAAAGAAAAGGAAAAAAAAAAAUCUUACGAUUCAAAACUUUUUUUCAUUAAGGGUGUUGAUUUAAAUUUUAAAUUAAGGCAUGUGAGAGAUAAAAUAGAAUUACUAAUUUACUCAUUUCUCCAAUGAUGAAAUAUCUAUGGAAUAACUUAUUGAUGAUAUUUUGGAAAAGAAAAUAUUUCUAUAAUUGGAAAAAUAAAAAUAAAAAUUUAAAGGAUUGUUAUUUAUUGUUUCUAUACCUCAACUAAGUUAUAAAGAAUAAUAAAGUAGCUAUCCGACUUUAAAAAGGCCAUUGAAAAAAGUCAUGUAAUGCUAAAACUGAGGGACCAAAUUUCGUUUCUUUUGAUCAAAUUUGAGAACUUUAAGCGAGUUUAUGUUAGUUAUUUGAUGAUCGUAUUUAGAGUCUUGAAAAUUGACGAUACACAAAUUUUUUUAAGAAACUUCUAAAAAUAUAUAAAAAAAUUAGACUAAAAGCCUUGAAUUGGCACAAGACUGCAUAAUUCCAAUCUUGGCUUUCUUUCACCGAAUCGAAAGCAAGAUGUAGCCUUACAAGAGACGUUUCGAAGAAGAAAGAGAAAGGAAAUUGGAUAAUAUAUGAUAAAGUGUAAUUACAAAGUGGCUUGGGAAUCGACUGCUGAUCGGAGAAGAAUUAAACCCACAAGCAGAAACUUCAUUUACAUCAAGUGGUGUCCUAGAAAAACCAGAAAAGACUGAGGCUUCAAGACAUCUUGGCGGGCAACUCGCAGCGACACAGAGGGCAUGUUUGGUGUAUCUUCAGCCAAGCUUCGAUGCAAUCUUGAUGAAAUUCAUGAGAGCAAUGCAUCCGAACCAGUUGGUCUCCCAUCACAAUUUCUUCCGCGCAAAUCACGCAGUUCAGUUCACGACUCUCGUGGAUCUCGCUCUCCGAGACGGUGACCACGUGCGUCAUACUAACCAUCACCUUCGUCCUCUUGCGCCCCUUGUCGUUCACCUCGCGGGACAACACCCUCGCGAUCUCAGACACUAACUCGUCGCGGGUCAUGCAUGUCCUGCCCGCGUACUUCCCCGCGUUCAUGUCGAGCCACUGUAUCCGGUCCAAAGGGAAGGGCAGCAGCAUGCCCUCCAUCAUGGAGGGCACGAUUGUCCACUAUGGCGAGGAUGGCGAGUGGUCGUGGGACGCGAACGGCGUGCUCGGAUGCUCCGCUCGGUACGAAAAGCCACGUUCACAGAUUCGGCCUCCUGUUCCUCCUUGUACUUUGGACAGACUACAGUAGCUUUGGACAUGGCAUGACAAGAUCACACUGGGUUGGGGCAAAGAUUCAUCGUCAUCGUCUGGAACACGCGUUGGUAUUGCGAAGACUCGAGUGUAAUAAUUCGACAUCUUUACGAGAAUUGUGGAGAUGGCAAGUGAAAGCGUUCUUGGGUUGGGUAUGUAUAUAUAUGUACUGAGUCAUAGGACACCGCCAUUGACAGAAAUUUCAGGAAACAAGUUGUAUAGUUUCCUCUUUUAAGCUUUGGUUCGUCCAGAUUAGAGAAAGUCUAUGUCAAAGAUUUUGAGUCGUUUAUCCUAAAAACUUUCCUUUUCUCAAGAUAAGAUUUGAGUUACCCGUAUUUCUCAACAAUUAGCCGAUUUUAUUUCCUCAUUUGAUCUUUCGGCCAACUUCCUCUAGUAUCGGACCCAAGUGAAAAAACACCUUAUAACAUAAUAUUUCACUUAUGAACCAAAAAACAUAAUAUUUCACUAAUUAAAUAAUGACAUUGCACACAAGUAAGGAAUAAGUUUCAAAAUUUGAAAUCUUUUCAAUAAGGUUGUCCGUGAGAUAGAAGCUUCUUAUACAACCCCAUGAAAAAAAUUUCUUAUUCAUAUUUCACAUUAUUUUAAAAAUAUUGUGAAAUUACUGAUGGCUUAUACACAAAGAAGAUAGCGUGACCGCAACACAAUGUGACCUACCCCAAACUUAAUAGUAUUCUUGUCGCACUAAAUAAAGAGAAUCACCAUUUAGCAUUUAGCGUACCGAGUAACAUGGCUGUAUUGGGCGCUGCAAACACAAUCUUAAGCUAAGAUAUGACAUCUUUUGAAAUGCCAGAAAACUCAGCAGAAAAUGAUACAGAACAUUGUUUGCCAUUCUUUUCUGUGGUGCAUUGAUCGGGUUAAUAAGAAGGGCACAGCUCUCCCUUUGCCUUGACCACCGCCCCAAUGAACAUCUAAUAUAAUUUCCACUCCUUGGUGACACCAGCCACGAAAGAGUUCUUUCUUGCAUUCCUUACUUUGUCUUCUUCAGGGAAAAAUCCAUUUGACGAAUUUGGAAAGAGCUUAAAAGAGAAGGAUUAAAGAACAUAACGGCACCCACUGAACGACCUCACAAGCCAAUCGAAGAGACUUUUUCAUCAGUCCGAAGAUAAUCGACCACAGCCUUCAGGUCAUCCUUCUAGAGGGGCCAAAAAGAAAGUGAACUGGAAAUUAUAAAGAAUAAUGAUUUUAAAACAACCUGCAUAGGGAUAAUAAGUUCCGAAGCAUUGCAACUGAAGCUAACAAGUUUUAAUAAGACAAAUACAGAAACUAGCAAGCCCAAUGGCAAUAAAGGUUUCAACUUUGAGGAAAGUUGCCAAAACAGUCCUAAACCUAUUACAUACAUGUGCAAAAUAUUAGCAAGCCUAGUGGCUGCUUCAUUCUACAGCCUCUUCUAUGCUAAAAACUUUCCCCAAGACAUAAGUAUGCCUAGUGCAUGGGGAAAGUUUCAAAUCAUCUGUUCUUUUAUUUUUUUGCUCCCUAAAAAAAAAAAAACAAAAAAAAAAGAAUAUGUUUGGUAACAUCAAUUAAUUUUUCUAUUUUUUGAAAUAGAAAAGUAGGACGAAUAGAUUUGAAAUAUAAAUAAAAAAUAGAAAAAAAUAGUUUCUUAUUCCCAGGAAUAAUUUUUAGAAAUAAGUCCAUUUUUUUUCUUCUUCCUACUUGCCACUCACCACAUGUUGCAGCGGGUGGCAGCGAUGAUAAGCAAGAAGAAGUGAUGAGCAGCAAGCAUGAAGAAGAAAAGAAAAAAAAAAGAAAAUAAAUCUUAAAAAAUUUAAAAAAUUCUACAUUACAAAAAAAUUUAUGAAUUGCACAAAAUGCAUUCCUAUUAUAUUUCAAUUCUAAGAAUAGGAAUUUUAUAUAAUUACCAAAUGCGUUGUUUUACUUAGAAAUUAUUUUGGGAAGUAAAAAUAGAAGAAAAUUAUUUUUUAAAAAUUAUUUUUCGAAACAAAAUUGUUAGCAUUUGCACCCCCAGCGAAUUCAGCCACAAGCCAUGUCACGGUUUUCCUCACAUGAAACUUACAUAUGUGUCAAGUCAAGAGUUAAACAGGAGAAAGGCCCGACAAAAGAGUCCAAGGAAUACUUUUUGGCCAAGUCUUUAAUAAACAAAUGCCUGGAAGAAAACACAGAACAGUAGUUACUCCGAUUUACUAGUAGAAACUCACUUCGUUCCACCCCCAAAGUCACAUGUUCCUUCCCCAUAAAGUCCUGAUCCAGUGAAAUCGAGGGUAAAAACAGUAACAUUUGAAGGAAGCAAAAGUAUGGUCGCUUCACCCGCGUCAAUUCGACCCUCGUGCCCAAAACUGUGAUUUACAAGAGACUGUUGAAACUUUGAAAUUAUGCUAAAUUCAUUUAGUAUGUAUCAAACAGACAAUAAACUUGCUCCCAUAGCAGAAAAUCAUGCAUGGAAAAGGCUUUCCUUGACCAUCAACUACGGGUACAUAAUUACUACAUUUGAGGAAUCACGAAUAUAUGCAACCUGAAAAAUAUGUAGACCAAUAGAGAAGAAUUAUGGCAAAUAUGAGCAAGUGUUAUGGUCUCGAGGUUCCCGUGAUAAAGGAUCGUGCUAGACCGAUGGAGACCAUCCAAGUUCAGCCAGGUUUUGCCCUAGGAUUUAUGGAACAUUCUCAGAGAUGGGUGAGACAGUAAUUGAGUCAGGUUCUAAAAUUCUCUCGGCUUAGUUGGUAGGACAAGUGAUAUGAUCUUGUCCGCUAGAUUGAAUAUAAAUCAAUGGUUGUAAUGAGAAGGCCUUUAAUAUAAGAAGAGAUGCUCUCCCAUCAUUUUAUUCAUCCAAACAUUCAAUAAUAAAGAUCCAUUCUCUCCGGAGAGCUCUCUCUCCACGAUCCGUAUCAGAAGACAAUCCAUUACACAAUCAUGGAAAUUACAUCUUGGUGCUUAAAAAAAAAAUACAAGGGAGAAAAUUUGUCCAUUGAAGACACUAUUCUACAACUAAAAAUAACAUUCUUCCAUAUAUGACUGGUUGUUCCUAAAGGUCAUAAGCCUCUUCAUUGAACCAAAACCUUUAUUCAUCUGAUUUUCUAUGAAUAAAAAAGAUAUCAAACUUCAAGAAUGACAUAAAUUCAAUUAUGUCUCAUGAAUAAAAUAUAUUGAAAUCGACAUCGAUGCAAAUCUUUAAACUUUCAUUGAUUAUAGAUUCUAUAAAGAAAAUAGGUAAGAAUAAAUGCGACAUUUACUACGACACAAUGCGCUUUAGUUUUUUCCACUUCUGCUGAGAAAGUAAACAUCCAAAGACAUCCAUAAUAUGGCUUGCUAGCCCUUAGCAACCAUCAUUGUGGCUGUCAUAUGGAUGGACAUAUCCGAACAGGCGUGUGAUGCAAUUGAGGUCUUUUCCGAAGCAUUGCCCCCAUCAAAAAUCUCUUGGCUCAAAUCCAUGGACAAAGUUUUAGAUGAUGAUAAUAUGCUUUUAUCCGGACGGAGAUGGAUGUUUACUUCAGAUGUUGAACUGCAUGCUCUAGUGAAUGAAGGAUAGGAUUAUUCUUUUUAUUGAUAGUGGGAUUUAUCAGCUUAUGAUAAAAGCAGAACUUGACAUUGUGACAUCUCUUGAGAUAAUUAGUGAAUUUAAACCUUGUUCUUGAUCGGUAGUUUGGGAGAGUAAAAGUCAAACUACUAUAAAAUCCACUUUUAAUAUCUUCUAUCUUAAUAUCUAUUCAAAAAGACCAUUUGCAUCAAUUUUGUUCCCGCAUCUAUCGAGUUUUAACUUAGAUUAUACCAACAAAAAAAUAAAAUAAAAUUCUCUAGCUUUUAAAUCAAUUUGUCCAUCCCUCUAACUAGCAUUAUUCGCCUCAACGGUUGUUUGGUUUGGAUGUGGGGAAAAAAAAGCAAAAACCAAAUAAAUUCGAUAAUAGAUGGAGAUUUUCGAAAAUCAAAAUGAGAUAGUCAUCAAAUGUUUUUUUCCUUAACAAACAAUUUUAGCUUCGGACCGAAUAAUGUUUUUCAUGGAAGGAUGCACGUUUUUGUCGGGCCAUAAAUAGGUGACGACUUCCCUGAACAAAUUCUAAGAUAGACUACCCAUCUUGUUCAUUUCUCAUCGGUUUCUUACUCCCAUUCUUUUCCUUAUUUCAUGUCAGCAUGAGAAAUGCUCUUUUAAAUCAAAAUCUUUCCACCAUGUUCUUGCUGUCUCUGUCGUCUCAUUGGCUCUGUUCUUACCUGGGAAGCACUUGUUGGAGUUUUGUUUGAUAAAACAAAAUGAGUGCCUUUUUCUUUGUCUCACAUAGAAAAGGUGAGAGCAGGAGGGUCAGUUUAAAAAUGUGGAAUUUUCCUUUUGUGGUUAAAGGAGUGAUUAGGUGGGGCUAAACCCCACCAUACCCGCAUGCGGGUGCGCGAUUUUGGCGCACUUAGCACUUAGCACUUAGCACUUUAAUUAGCAUUAAUCCCUUGCUUUUUAUUUAUUUAUUUUUUGGUUCAAAGGUUGCCUUUUAAUUUGAGAAUUUCGGAAAUGAAAUAUAAAUGAAAAUUCGAAAUUCUAUUUAAAUAUAUAUAUAUAUAUAUAUAUAUAUAUUAUUCUGAAUUUUAUUUGUGUCUUUUCAAGACAACCUUUGGAAAAUUACUUAUUCGGUUUUAAUUUUUCCGAAGGAUUGCAAUUGUUCGUUUUUCGACUUCUUCCGAAGAGUCGCAUUUGUUUAUCCGAGCAAUUUUCUAAAGACGUGUCUGUUCGCAAUUUUCAUGAACAGUUGCAAGACUGUUUCAUAUAUAUAUACUUGUCAUUUUUCGGAAAGAGGUGUGUGGUCAUUUUCGAGUCUUCUUUCUGAAAAAAAAAACAGCAGCCAAUUUUCAAUUGUUUCUUAGAGAGACCCUGGAGAAAUACUAGAAUUGAUAUUUAGUAUUCUCAUCCGAGACUUUGUUGUAUCCUGGAGGAUUUUUGCCGGUGACCAUUAGCAACGUUGUGGGGCAAAUAAAUCCUUAAAGAAAGUGAUAUCACGCCUCAAAGUCCGAGUUGUUUUACUCGAUCCGAUUUCAUUGUACUACCCAAUUUCGAAGCAUAUUUUAACAACAGCACUCAGCGAGCACGUAACAGAGGCAAAAUCACAGAGAAUGUCCCGGCCUCAGUGCUGCGAGAACCCUCCAACCCUGACCCGGCAAGCGACAAGGCCAUGUUGAGAAGCUGGGUGGAGUCAAGAGCUAUGUCUCUGGUUCAUGCGACUCUAAUCUCACCAUCGUCCUCGAGUCUGAUGUGUUUGUUACUUGCAUUGUCCUUCCUUUUCAUCGAUGAAGUUUGCAUUUUGGGUUCGUAGUCGGUGCUUCUGGUUCAAACUGCGAGGUGGGUCAGUGAUUUAAGUUGUGAUUUGUCAUAAUCUCUGGGUCAACCUUUAAGUCCCGUUUUUUUUGGGUUGUAAUCUGAUGAAACUAUCUGAUUCCUGCUUUGGCGCGAGUGGCUACGUUUAUGGAGUAGGCUGUUUCUUGGAAGUUUAUAUUGAGAGUUGGUUCAUGAUGGCAUGUGAUUUAGCAAUUGGAGGUUACUGAAAUAGGAGCAUAAAUAAGGAAAACCUAUUUAUAUGGUUGCAUUUCUACCAUUUCAUCUGUUUUUCCUCUUUUCAGAACUAACCAUAAUUUGGGUGGUUGUAUUCAUUGUGCAGGAUGUG